UCGAGGACGAACGCUGGCGGCGUGCCUAACACAUGCAAGUCGAACGGGGUGAUUCCUUCGGGGAAUCACUUAGUGGCGAACGGGUGAGUAACGCGUGAGGAACCUGCCUUUCAGUGGGGGGACAACAGUUGGAAACGACUGCUAAUACCGCAUAAUGUAGCGAGACCGCAUGAUCUUGCUACCAAAGCUUUAUGUGCUGAAAGAUGGCCUCGCGUCUGAUUAGCUAGUUGGUGGGGUAACGGCCCACCAAGGCGACGAUCAGUAGCCGGUCUGAGAGGAUGAACGGCCACAUUGGGACUGAGAUACGGCCCAGACUCCUACGGGAGGCAGCAGUGGGGAAUAUUGGGCAAUGGGGGAAACCCUGACCCAGCAACGCCGCGUGAAGGAAGAAGGCCUUCGGGUUGUAAACUUCUUUUACCAGGGACGAAAAACAUGACGGUACCUGACUAAGAAGCCCCGGCUAACUACGUG
RNAcentral lists this ribosomal RNA (471 nucleotides) under uncultured bacterium. RNAcentral describes it as "bacterial SSU rRNA". It matches the Rfam family "Bacterial small subunit ribosomal RNA", at positions 26 to 507 of the family's 1533-position model. The record is from RNAcentral.